UAAUAUGUCAACUUGGGAAGCGGAAAUUUCACAAAUUAAAUACGAUAAUAUUUGAUUUAAAUGCUUUAAACGUACUCAAAAUUGCAAGUUAAUAGCAAGUAGGAAAAGUAAAAUUCUUUCAAUUGAGUUCCCAUAAAGUUUCAACUUGAAUUAAAAUUUCAAAUGAUAAACCUUAAUCAGAUAUGUGUGCAGCAAUUAUAUUUAAUCAUUCUGCCACCACCUUCAAAAAGUACAAACUGGGAAAAAGAGAUGUUGGUGUGAUUGUUAUUGCCGUUGGUAUGGCAACUUAUGGCAACUUAUCACAGCUUCUUGCAACACAAGGCGCAAUUUGCAACGGCCAACCCAGCGGGCCAUAUACUCGUAAACUCAAAUUUGGACUCCGCAUAAGACUUUAUAGAAUUGGCAUUAAACAUAGUAUUUAAAAUAUAUUCACCCAAAGCAAUCAUACUUAUAAAAAUACGUAUGCCUUUGCGGUUCCUUUUAAGUACUAUAAAUUUUACUACUUUUCAUAAAAAUGUUUUUACAAUAGUGCGAAUAGGGUACUCAAACAUUCGGUACUCCGCAGCCGCGUGCGAUGCAAAUGAUAAUAAUAGAGGUAAAAAGUAAAUAAAAAAGCAGUACAAAUAAAUUACAAGCGCCGCGCGCCACUUGUACAUCUCA
Molecule: long non-coding RNA, 660 nt
Organism: Drosophila yakuba
Lineage: Eukaryota; Metazoa; Arthropoda; Insecta; Diptera; Drosophilidae
Exons: 3
Source: RefSeq, a predicted model, not a curated record